Molecule: ribosomal RNA, 253 nt
Filed under: uncultured bacterium
Lineage: Bacteria
Description: partial 16S ribosomal RNA
Rfam family: Bacterial small subunit ribosomal RNA
Source: RNAcentral
UACGUAGGGGGCAAGCGUUGUCCGGAUUUAUUGGGCGUAAAGAGCGUGUAGGCGGCUGGUUAGGUCCGUUGUGAAAACUCGAGGCUCAACCUCGAGACGCCGAUGGAAACCCUCCAGCUAGAGUCCGGAAGAGGAGAGUGGAAUUCCUGGUGUAGCGGUGAAAUGCGCAGAUAUCAGGAAGAACACCCGUGGCUAAGGCGGCUCUCUAGUACGGUACUGACGCUGAGACGCGAAAGCGUGGGGAGCGAACAGG